AUGAACGCUGGCGGCGUGCCUAAUACAUGCAAGUCGAGCGAACGGACGAGAAGCUUGCUUCUCUGAUGUUAGCGGCGGACGGGUGAGUAACACGUGGAUAACCUACCUAUAAGACUGGGAUAACUUCGGGAAACCGUAGCUAAUACCGGAUAAUAUUUUGAACCGCAUGGUUCAAAAGUGAAAGACGGUCUUGCUGUCACUUAUAGAUGGAUCCGCGCUGCAUUAGCUAGUUGGUAAGGUAACGGCUUACCAAGGCAACGAUGCAUAGCCGACCUGAGAGGGUGAUCGGCCACACUGGAACUGAGACACGGUCCAGACUCCUACGGGAGGCAGCAGUAGGGAAUCUUCCGCAAUGGGCGAGAGCCUGACGGAGCAACGCCGCGUGAGUGAUGAAGGUCUUCGGAUCGUAAAACUCUGUUAUUAGGGAAGAACAUAUGUGUAAGUAACUGUGCACAUCUUGACGGUACCUAAUCAGAAAGCCACGGCUAACUACGUG
Molecule: ribosomal RNA, 496 nt
Filed under: uncultured bacterium
Lineage: Bacteria
Description: partial 16S ribosomal RNA
Rfam family: Bacterial small subunit ribosomal RNA
Source: RNAcentral